RNAcentral lists this non-coding RNA (28 nucleotides) under Mus musculus (house mouse). Lineage: Eukaryota; Metazoa; Chordata; Mammalia; Rodentia; Muridae. The record is from RNAcentral.
UGAAAAAACAGCUCUGCCACUGGGCUCC